CUGAAGACCAGUUGGAUUGUCUUCAGACACCAUGACAAUCUUCCAAGAACACAUUGUAUCUAGGAAUGGGAUUCCUGUGGUUUACCAGUGAAUCUGAAAUAGCCAAGCAUAAGCUCAUGUAGAGAAAAGUCUGUUCAUAGCAACCUAGUGUUAUCAACACUCCUAAAAUGAGCAUAAAGAAUAACUGCAGAAAUGAGGGCAAAGCACAGUUGCCCCUCUUGUGCCUUUUAAGUCAGCUCCAGUGACUGUGGGCUGCUGAAGAUGCUACAUCCUGACAAGGAGGUCAAGGAAUGCAGUCUGAGCAUCAUCCCCUACAUCAGAAACUCUAAAAAUUUUUUGAUAGGAGUUUUCCUAAUGCCUAAUUCUUGGACAGGACUGUGAGCGACUGCAGAAACUCAAGAGCUUGACACUAAAGGUGUGAGGAGCACUGUCUUAAAGACUUUGCAAUAGCAUGAGAUGUCCUGUCCAUAUCUAGAAGUCCAGUUCUGGUCUGUUCACUUGCCAGAUCAGCAGACUUCACAAGCUUCAACUCAGAAACGUAAAAAGUAAAAUAUUCUGAAGCAGCAGGGAAUUUGAUAAAAGAAGGGGUGGAGACUGCAGGGCAGAAUCCCAAGUUUUAGUUAAAUCUGAAAGCAGAUUAAAGUAACAAGAAAAGGUUUGAUAACUCCAUUAUGAAUGCAUUAGCUGUAAAUAUGAAAUGCAGCCUGCUUAUAAGGAACUGUUGAUAAUGUCCAUCAACACUGGAAUGAACAAGUACUUGUAUUGAUAGGAGUCCUGGCAACACUCCAUAGUGCCCCUGUCCACAGUGCCCUCUCCAAUGCACUUGCAGGGAAGACUUGCAGAAUGUCAUUCUUGUCCACAGCCAAUGCUACAAGUUAUUUUUGCUGGUAGGGAUUUUAAGUUUCAUGUAGAUGCCAAGGUAACCUUGGCAUAUGUUAAGGAGCUCUGGCUGUGAUGGUUCGUCUGUGGGUGACAGCCUGCUCCUGAGGAGAGACUGUCCAUCACUGUAUCAGCCACAUAUGGAGAUGAGUGUCUGUGAAGAGCUCAUGCAGCUUCAGCAGAACUCAGCAGUCUGGACAAUUCUCAGCAUCUUGGCAAUGGAAUACAGUCAUCUCUUCAAAUAAAUGAAGUCCUACAAGAAGGAGGCCUGCUGUAUGCAAGAUAGUGAGACCAUGGAUUUGAAGAGUUGCUGAGAGUCUGAAAAGAGAUUGGUUCUCUGCUGAGACUGUGGUGGUAUUUGUUUGGUGAGUCCCCAUUGUGCAAGGACUUAUGUAAACUAUAAAACUUGCCCUCAGACUGUGAGCUCUGUCAACUACUGGACCAGAAACAGUUUACCUGUGGUUGUUUCACUUCACAAAUAUACUGCCUUUUAAUAUAUUCUGCUAUCAUAUGUGGGCUACAUAGUUUUCCAGUAAAAACCUGGCCACUGGGAUUUUUUUCUAGUGCUACACAAAAAAUUUUGCUCAUUGAUUGUUCCAGAUUAAAAACCUGCUGUGCAGUGUAUGCUUUCAAAAAAUACACCCAGGCAUCACAAUGAAGGCAAGAUUGUCUUUAUUUGCAGAAGAAAUGAGAGUUCCUUAUUCACUCUCCAGCUUCCAAACAUUGUUGCAGGUUGAAGUGUCAGGGUGGAUGGAACAAAAAGGACCUCAGGAAUAUCAUGACUGUAAUCAGUGUCAUGUCCCUGGUCUUCUGCCUGUUCUUGUUCACCAGCAUGUGAAUGUACUGAUCACCAUCCUCAUAAUCUUUGGCCACUUGGGGAGAUUGGACUCUGGUGAAAGAUUCCACGCAAGAUGAGGGUUUGAUACCAUGUGAACUCUCCCCAGACAAGGUUUCAUGACCAGCUGCGUACAGAGGAAUGAUGUGUUAAGGUCAGUGAAAUCACAAGAAUGGAAAACAACCAGUG
Molecule: long non-coding RNA, 1903 nt
Organism: Corapipo altera (White-ruffed manakin)
Lineage: Eukaryota; Metazoa; Chordata; Aves; Passeriformes; Pipridae
Exons: 3
Source: RefSeq, a predicted model, not a curated record